Molecule: ribosomal RNA, 256 nt
Filed under: uncultured bacterium
Lineage: Bacteria
Description: partial 16S ribosomal RNA
Rfam family: Bacterial small subunit ribosomal RNA
Source: RNAcentral
CCGCGGUAAUACGGAGGAUCCGAGCGUUAUCCGGAUUUAUUGGGUUUAAAGGGUGCGUAGGCGGCACUUUAAGUCAGGGGUGAAAGCCCAACGCUUAACGUUGGAACUGCCAUUGAUACUGUCGAUCUUGAAUGUGUUUGAUGUGGGCGGAAUAUGACAUGUAGCGGUGAAAUGCUUAGAUAUGUCAUAGAACACCGAUUGCGAAGGCAGCUCACAAAGCCACUAUUGACGCUGAGGCACGAAAGCGUGGGGAUCA